CAGGGACGGAUUGGCAAUCGGGAAUACCGGGAACAAUCCCGAACGGCCGGUCCAUUUCAGGCCGAAUCGGCCGGUGGUCAAAUUUUUUAUUAUUAUUAUUUAUUUUAUAUGAUACGCUACCGUACCGGCCUGCUCAGCUGCAGCGGAACGCAGCUGUGUGUCUGUCUGUGUGUGUGUUUUUAGACUGGGCCAAACCAAUACUUCCAAUCUUAAGGGGGGAUACGAGCGGCCCCUCCCAACUUGGACUGAUCCUCGUAUUUGCUGACAUCCGAUUGGCUCAAAGGCGCCGAUCAAAGGAGUUUAAUGGUUAGGUUUGAGUUUGUGUGAAUGCAACAGAGACAGACGGUAAAAAUGGCGAAACGAAGGAAAGAAGAGAAAGAAAUGGGUGGGGCCGAAAAAAUAAGAAUGAAAAAGAAAAAAAUGUUGGCACAAGAGGCAGCUAAAUGUGCCAAAUUAACGGACCUUUUCCGCACUGAAAAGGGUGCUGUGGCAGGAGGUGCAGAUGAGGAAGGACCCAGCAGCAUGGAUAGGACAGCUGUACAAUCAGUAAGCAGAGACAGGGUCCAGCAGAGGCAGGGUCCAGCACAGGGGAAGCUGAGGCAGGGAGAGUUGAAAGUGAGUACACACACACACACACACACACACACAAUCUCUAUUGUAUGGGACUGCAUUGUAGUUUUUGAGUAUGAGUGGGUGUGAGUAUUUGUAACUAUUUUAUCACUCCGACUGACUGUACACAUGACAUGCUGGUAGUUCGCAGUAUACUGUGUGACUUAUGUGUUUGAGAUUAGGUUUUGCUGACCUGGUUGUGUUCAGUGCAGUGGACUUGCUUAUACAACCUGAGGAGGCAGGUGUUAUCCUAAAGUUUCUUGAAGGUCUUCAGCGUAAUCUGAUUGUCUUUAUACCAUAAAAACACUAUUAGAAUGAAAAUAACUGCAAAAAAUCCUGCUCGUGCACCAAGGGCACUCGCGUAAAAGGCCUCUCCGUCUUAAAGUCCCGGGCUGAAUUUCAGUCCCAGUACGUCCCUGAUAUUACCCAUGCUUCAAAGAGAACUACCCGAUAAAUGGCACUGGCUCCCAUAAUCAAAACAGUUUACUCCUAAAAUUGCUUGCAGAUUGACAUGCAGAAGCAACCCGCCUGUGAUGUGAGCGAAAUAUAUCCAGUAUUAGCAUCUGAAAAGCACUGUAGUUGCCAGCCACCAGCAACUGGGCAUUUGAGAGAGAUGAGAGCUAGAUUCAGUUCCUCAGCAGCAAGCUGAUGAGAUGUCACAUCUCCACAUGAAUAUUUAUGAGGCUCGUGGUCGUGGGCGGCCUGGGAAUAUCAGAGCGUUUUACACAAGAGUUGUGUGGCCCGUGACUUAGUAGCGCACUUAUAUGAUGACGUCACAUCUAAUUCAUUUUUCUAACAGCUUGAAGUGGUUUAAGGUGGGAUGUUGAGAUUGUCCAGUGGGAAUAACAGUAUAAGAAAUCCUGAAACCCCUGCUUUUGCCAUUAACUAGAGUCCCUGGAGGCUCAAUAUAGAGUUAAAGUGAAACACUAUUCCUCCUCAUUAACACUUGAUACUGAACUCUCACUCUUAUGAAUAUUUACUAUGAAGGAGAAAAUGGCUCAGAAUCAAUUUUUAUUCAUUAUCGUAGUAAAUGUGUACAUGAGUGAGAGUUUAGCUGUUAAUUAGGAAGAAUAUAUAAGAGAAGAGCUCAAAUACUGUGGAUAACUGUUCCAAC
Long non-coding RNA from Cyprinus carpio carpio, 1723 nucleotides. The record is from Ensembl. NCBI's taxonomy places the organism in Eukaryota, Metazoa, Chordata, Actinopteri, Cypriniformes, Cyprinidae.